RNAcentral lists this ribosomal RNA (162 nucleotides) under Streptomyces sp. SID9727. RNAcentral describes it as "partial 16S ribosomal RNA". It matches the Rfam family "Bacterial small subunit ribosomal RNA", at positions 1 to 163 of the family's 1533-position model. Lineage: Bacteria; Bacillati; Actinomycetota; Actinomycetes; Kitasatosporales; Streptomycetaceae. The record is from RNAcentral.
CAUUCACGGAGAGUUUGAUCCUGGCUCAGGACGAACGCUGGCGGCGUGCUUAACACAUGCAAGUCGAACGAUGAAGCCCUUCGGGGUGGAUUAGUGGCGAACGGGUGAGUAACACGUGGGCAAUCUGCCCUUCACUCUGGGACAAGCCCUGGAAACGGGGUC